UGCAGGUGCAGUCCACCGAUGACACUUAGAGAAACACUGCCCUAGAUGUCAACCAGGGACUUCCCCAGUAGCUCCUGGAAUAGAAGCAGCAUUUAUUUUACUGGGUGGUAGGGCCAUUGAAGCACAGUCAUCGAACUGGGUUUGGGAGCAUGUGUUAUGAUUUUUAGUUGGGUUCGUACUUACUGUGCUCAGGCAAAAGUCAAUUUUCCAAUGCUGUCUUUAUCUUUGUUAAUGGCUGGAAGUGUUGUGGUUAUUAAACAGCUCCUCGAGAUCUGAUGGAAGCCCUGCUGCUGAAGACAGAGAGCUGUGUGGAGUCAGCAAUCCUUACUCAGAGGAGAAACAAGGAACAGGGCCACUGCCCAGGGCCGCGUUGCUGUCAGCGAGGAACUCUGGGGUCACACACACUUUCUCUCCCUCUUCCACAAGACACUACUGCUGUCAGCUCGGCCCUGCUGAUUCCUGAGUCCCCCUGCAUGGCACACUUAGUGUACUCCAUAGGGGCACUGUCUCUUGGCCUCUUCACAACUGGAGAAGCAGGUACUGUUAUUCUCCCCAUUUCAUAGAUGGAAAAUGAGGCUCCGAGAGACAAAGUGGUUUGUCAAGGGUCAGACGACCAGUAAGUGGCAGAGUUGGGAUUCAAACCCAGGUCCACAUGACUGUCAAACCACACUCUUAGCCACUAUUCUCCACUGCCUACCUCCUGUUCCUGCCUCUCCCUAAAGCCUCUAGACUCUGGGUCUGCCCAGAGCUGCUUGGAUAAAUUAGAAAGUCUAAUUUAGCAAUACUGCAGUUACCUAUGGCUGAAUUCCUGAUUGUUAAAUUCCAGAAACUGAUUUCUCCAGUACCUCUCCUCCCUGGAAAGUAAAGAAAGGCCUCCACCCACAGCACUAUACCCAGAGAAAUACUGUUUCUUCCUUCUUCUCACUUGGGAGAAUAUUCCAGGGGAGCUGAGUCUGAGGGCAAGAGAGGAAGGAGGGCCCCGGGGGCUGCUCAAGUUCCUCCUGUUUCAGGGAGGAGAAGAAAGAGAAGCAGCUUGCUUUCUGCUCUCAGGGGACUUGGGGACAAAGGGGAGUGAUCAAAAGGGGAUUUCCCACAGCCCCAAAAUGCUAGCCGGAUUGCACUUGUGACCUCUCCUUCCUGAGUGAAACUAGAUUGUUGACUUGCCUGCCACCUGUUUCCAACAUGGAGUAGAGAUGUUGCACAUACAUGAUGCCAUGUGUCCAGAUUAAGACAACAAAAAAUUAUAAACAAGGAUUGAAGAAAGUUGGAGGCAGCAAAUAUAUGGUCUGUAAGGGCUCAUACAGCAAGAGAUGUGACUAGAAGCCUCCUGGGAGCCAAGGCAGAAAGAAAAAAAAAAAAAACAUGCUCUGUCCUUAGGCUGGAGAGAGCAUUCCAGGUUAUCUGGGGAGAUUGUUCUACUUGACUCUAUAUUCUGGAAUAAUUCUCCUGAGGGACAGUACAGAGGUACUGAGAGGUGUUGGAAAAAUCCUUAGGGAGCUCACAGCCCAACAUUGGAGAAGAGCAUAGUGGGAGCGGGGACACUGGGAUGGCUUCUGGUCUGUGUGAACUGGUUCCUGAUGUUGGGGCAACACCUCCCAGUGUCCGAAGGCCUGAUCCUUGCUCACACCUGCCCAGCCACCUGAGAGCCCCUGAGAUGGAUUCAUCUGAUACCAGGAGCCUCUAGGACCCAGAAAUUUAACUGUCAAUCAAGAGGCAUGUGAGGGAAAGUCCAGCCCAGCCUGGGUGCCAGAAGGUCUGGAUUCCUGGUCUGCACAUUCCCUACAACUCUGGGCAGAGAUCUCAUAUGUACUUCUGGCUCAGCUACUAACUUAGCUGUGUGGCUUUAGGUGACCCACUUAACUUCUCUGAAUCUGUUUCUCCAUUUGUAAAAUAAAAGGUUUGGACUAGGGAAUCCCCAAAUUUCCUUUCAGUAUAAAAGUUCCAUGAUUACCAGUGACCUGCUCAAGGUUCAUUAUUUCCCUCAUGUUUAAAGCACAGAAUCUUGUCCACUUCAUAGGGAGGUGGUGAAAGUCUAUGCACAUGUGCUCAGUAAAUCUUAGGCCAACACAAAUGUCAGCUAUCAUCAUUAUUAUAAGAAUUCUUUAUGCAGCUCUUUCUUCAGAACAUGUUUUAUAUCUUUUACCAUUU
This 2148-nucleotide long non-coding RNA is filed under the name Homo sapiens (human). Its description in RNAcentral is "HSALNT0168133". Lineage: Eukaryota; Metazoa; Chordata; Mammalia; Primates; Hominidae. The record is from RNAcentral.